GAUUAACGCUAGCGGCAGGCAUAAUACAUCCAAGUUGAACGGCAGCACAGGUAGCAAUACUGGGUGGCGAGUGGCGCACGGGUGCGUAACACGUAUGCAACCUACCCUAUACAGGCGAAUAACCUUUAGAAAUGAGGGCUAAUACGCCGUAGUAUUACAGAUGGGCAUCUAUUUGUAAUUAAAGAUUUAUCGGUAUAGGAUGGGCAUGCGUCCCAUUAGUUAGUUGGUAAGGUAACGGCUUACCAAGACGAUGAUGGGUAGGGGAUCUGAGAGGACUUACCCCCACACUGGUACUGAGACACGGACCAGACUCCUACGGGAGGCAGCAGUAAGGAAUAUUGGGCAAUGGCCGCGAGGCUGACCCAGCCAUGCCGCGUGCAGGAAGACGGCCUUAUGGGUUGUAAACUGCUUUUAUACGGGAAUAAUAGAGUGUACGCGUACAUUUAUGCAAGUAUCGUAUGAAUAAGCAUCGGCUAACUCCGUG
Molecule: ribosomal RNA, 484 nt
Filed under: uncultured bacterium
Lineage: Bacteria
Description: partial 16S ribosomal RNA
Rfam family: Bacterial small subunit ribosomal RNA
Source: RNAcentral